This 474-nucleotide ribosomal RNA is filed under the name Triticum aestivum (bread wheat). RNAcentral describes it as "partial small subunit ribosomal RNA". Lineage: Eukaryota; Viridiplantae; Streptophyta; Magnoliopsida; Poales; Poaceae. The record is from RNAcentral.
AUGACUUCUGUGUACCGUCUUCAUGGUUUGCCUGAGGUGAUCAUCUCUGAUCGCGACCGUAUCUUCACCAGCAACUUUUGGCAAGCUCUCUUCAAACUCUCUGACACAGUGCUGCACAUGAGCUCCGCCUAUCAUCCACAUACGGACGGCCAAACUGAGCGGCUGAACCAGUGUUUGGAAACAUAUCUUCGCUGCAUAGUGCAUGCUUGUCCUAAGAAAUGGUUUGAGUGGCUCCACCUGGCUGAGUACUGGUAUAAUACUACAUAUCACUCGGCGUUGGACAAGACACCGUUCGAAGUGCUCUAUGGACAUGUACCUCAUCAUCUUGGAAUUGUACCAAGCACCACUAGUUCUGUGGCUGAUUUGGAUGCGUGGCUUCAAGAGCGCAGUGAGAUGUUGCAGCUCCUCCAUCAACAAUUGCUUCGUGCCCAGCAAAGGAUGAAGUCGCAAGCAGACAAGCAUCGCUCUGAAUGA